Molecule: ribosomal RNA, 228 nt
Filed under: Triticum aestivum (bread wheat)
Lineage: Eukaryota; Viridiplantae; Streptophyta; Magnoliopsida; Poales; Poaceae
Description: partial small subunit ribosomal RNA
Source: RNAcentral
AUGAUCUUGGAGAAACAGGUCCUGUCGUUCGCGAAGGCGGUCGAGGACAUCACCGCACUCGAGCGUCUUGGCCCGGACGACAUCGAGGCGUUCCGCGAGCGCCGAAUGCUGCAGAUGCGCCGCGUGGCCGAGCGCCAGCCCAAGUGGUGUGCCCUGGGCACGGCGAGUAUGCCGAGGUCCUCGAGAAAGAGUUCUUCUCCGUCGGCAUGGCCGGCGAGCUCCUCGUGA